Molecule: long non-coding RNA, 468 nt
Filed under: Brassica napus (rape)
Lineage: Eukaryota; Viridiplantae; Streptophyta; Magnoliopsida; Brassicales; Brassicaceae
Description: long non-coding RNA (BNAP_LNC024197)
Source: RNAcentral
UUGCUUUUAUGUUAAUUGUAUAUACCUUAUGAGGUCAUGGUGGUUAUACAUUUACAGGUUUUGGAUCUUACAUAUGUGUAACACCAUGAAUUUGUACGAUACGGUUUGGCGUUUUUGAGAUGUUUGCAGCAAAAGGAGAUGAUUGCACACUUAGUAAGUAACAAUAAUAGUGCUUACCACUAAUAUCAAAUGUAUUAAAUAGCUUGCAUUUUCAAAUUUCGUACUACCUCACCCAAACUAUAUAGUAUUGUAUACAUAUCAAUCUGUUAAUAUAAACACAACCAUCAAAAUCUCAACUUAAUAAAUCUUAACGUUUAUAAACCCUCUACACCAAAAAAAAAAAAACUUAAAAACCAUCAAUGUUAUUAUACAUCUCUCUUGCAAAUCUAAACAUAAAAUACAUACAAUGAAAUAUACGAUUAUAUAGUAAUAUACAUCACACGACAAUCAUAUCCCGCGCGUAGUGGA